CGGGACGGGUGAGUAAUGUCUGGGAAACUGCCUGAUGGAGGGGGGUAACUACUGGAAACGGUAGCUAAUACCGCAUAACGUCGCGAGACCAAAGAGGGGGACCUUCGGGCCUCUUGCCAUCGGAUGUGCCCAGAUGGGAUUAGCUAGUAGGUGGGGUAACGGCUCACCUAGGCGACGAUCCCUAGCUGGUCUGAGAGGAUGACCAGCCACACUGGAACUGAGACACGGUCCAG
This 233-nucleotide ribosomal RNA is filed under the name uncultured bacterium. RNAcentral describes it as "partial 16S ribosomal RNA". It matches the Rfam family "Bacterial small subunit ribosomal RNA", at positions 100 to 334 of the family's 1533-position model. The record is from RNAcentral.